GAUCUGAAUAAGUAGGUGGCCUUUAGGGGCUGACAGUACCUUCCUUCCAAAAUGGAAGAAUGGAUCAGUCUUCAGAGAAGUCUUGAAUGGGAAUGCAGCCCUGCACUGCACUUGACAGCCUCACACAGACUCCAUGCUCAGGUCCCAGGACAGAGACCCCAUGAGUGGGAACCUGGAUCGAGGACUUACACAUGGUUUCUGGUGAUAGCAUGGACCAUGGACACCCACAUGGCCUCCAGUGGCAGCCCAGACCACGGACAUCUACAUGAACUUCAGGUUUAACAUGACCCGGAACCGAGGACCACAGAUACCAACAUGUACAGAAAAUGAACAGUUCUGCAUUAUGAAGAGCCUCCCACCGUUGCUCAGAGCCCCGGUGAUUGUGUGACUGGGCAGCAUGUUGCCGGACUGAAUCUGCUCAAGCCCUAGCCUGCUGCACACCACCUUACUUGGCAAGAUGGUUCCAGUUGACUGCAGUCUUCUCUCAGGUCACUGUCUCUCAAACCUAUCACCGCCGAUGCAUUUCUAGUUCUGCCUCUCACCACUGCGCAUGUAGCACUCCGUCCCUCCAUCUCUUUCUCUUCUCCACUACAUAUUCGUUUGUCACAGUGGCGUUGCCAACCGCAGUGUGGUACAUGGUGUAUUUUUUUUUUUGUCCAAUCAGCUUUACAUGCAAAUAAAUAUUCAUUGCAAUG
RNAcentral lists this long non-coding RNA (695 nucleotides) under Rattus norvegicus (Norway rat). Its description in RNAcentral is "long non-coding RNA NONRATT026880". Lineage: Eukaryota; Metazoa; Chordata; Mammalia; Rodentia; Muridae. The record is from RNAcentral.